RNAcentral lists this transfer RNA (76 nucleotides) under Candidatus Margulisiibacteriota bacterium. Its description in RNAcentral is "tRNA-Thr". It matches the Rfam family "tRNA". Rfam says of the family: Transfer RNA (tRNA) molecules are approximately 80 nucleotides in length. Their secondary structure includes four short double-helical elements and three loops (D, anti-codon, and T loops). The record is from RNAcentral. RNAcentral also lists the same sequence under 2 other names. Lineage: Bacteria; Bacillati; Candidatus Margulisiibacteriota.
GCCGAGAUAGCUCAGCUGGUAGAGCAGCGCAUUCGUAAUGCGCGGGUCGCAGGUUCAAUUCCUGUUCUCGGCUCCA